GACGUAGGGCGCGAGCGUUGUCCGGAUUUAUUGGGCGUAAAGAGCUCGUAGGCGGCUUGUUGCGUCGGCUGUGAAAACCCAUGGCUCAACCGUGGGCUUGCAGCCGAUACGGGCAGGCUAGAGUUCGGUAGGGGAGACUGGAAUUCCUGGUGUAGCGGUGAAAUGCGUAGAUAUCAGGAGGAACACCCGUGGUGCAGACGGCUUGCUGGACCGUGACUGACGCUGAGGCACGAAAGCGUGGGUAGCAAACAGG
RNAcentral lists this ribosomal RNA (253 nucleotides) under uncultured bacterium. RNAcentral describes it as "partial 16S ribosomal RNA". It matches the Rfam family "Bacterial small subunit ribosomal RNA", at positions 524 to 776 of the family's 1533-position model. The record is from RNAcentral.